GGGGGAAAGUCUCCCUGACAACAACGAUAUUUACCCAUGUGCAAAGAUGAUAGACAGAGUCACUUUGGCAUCUUGACAAUUCAGACACUGCACUCCGCGGUUUUGCCUUCCUGGCUGCUUUUUCCCAAGUCCAUAUAUAAAACAAGAAUGAAAAUCAUUCAAGUGGUAAAUUACUCUCCCUGGAAAGAAGCCUUCAGUUUGACCAGUAUACAAAUGAGGUUUGAGAACGGAGAUGUGGAAUAUUUUUUUGCUCACUUUCCCGCUGAUGACAACAGGAAUCACUUCCACAUGCUAGAAUUUCAAAAGGGGAUUGUAACCUACAGGUUGUGGAACUCCUUUCAGUUCCUCAAAGGUAUCCUGUUCUCUUUUCUCUCCUGGACUUUGCAUUUAAAUCAGACUACUGGAAAAUGGACAAGAUGCAUACAGGCAAUGCUGCCCGGCAUGCUUCAUUUAGUUCUGCAAUAAACAGAGCAUGCAGCAUGGUGGUGGAUCUCACUUGAGUCCCCGAGGAAACAUCCCACAGGAAAUGAUGAAAAAUAAUAAGAGUGUUACAUGUAUUGGAGCAUGUACCAGGCAGAGGAGAUGGAAAACACAGGGGCGGGAAGAAGCAGUGACUGUGUCUCAUCUACCUGCAGAUUUACAGGGAAUCUCACUUUUACAUUCUUGUAACCACUCUUGAAAUUAAAGAUAAAUUAAAAAAAAAAAAAAAAACAUUGAAACUGCAGUGAACUCAAGUCAACUGAAAGUUACCCAUUUACAGGCUCCUCUUUCUGGAAUUAUUUUCUUCUUACCCACUGGAGGUGAAGGCUGACCACACUUUAGAAGAUUUUGAGAACUUGAGACACAUAAAGUUGCAGAAUAUAGUCCAUAAUCUGAGACAUGUUACAGCAAAAGUAUCUCGUAACUCCUUGAUCUGAAAUGUGAGUGCUUAUUUACAAGCUGCUUACCUCCAAAAUGUUUUAGCAGGUAUUAU
Molecule: long non-coding RNA, 973 nt
Filed under: Vulpes vulpes (red fox)
Lineage: Eukaryota; Metazoa; Chordata; Mammalia; Carnivora; Canidae
Description: lncRNA (ENSVVUG00000006818.1)
Source: RNAcentral